Ribosomal RNA from Pseudozyma flocculosa PF-1, 120 nucleotides. Lineage: Eukaryota; Fungi; Basidiomycota; Ustilaginomycetes; Ustilaginales; Ustilaginaceae. The record is from Rfam.
AUCUGCGGCCACAGGACCUCGAAAAUACCGCAUCCCGUCCGAUCUGCCACGGUCAAGUGGGGUGCCGCCUAGCCAGUACCGCGGUGGGGGACCACGCGGGAAUCCUAGGUGCUGCAGUUG